Molecule: long non-coding RNA, 1442 nt
Organism: Daphnia magna
Lineage: Eukaryota; Metazoa; Arthropoda; Branchiopoda; Diplostraca; Daphniidae
Exons: 4
Source: RefSeq, a predicted model, not a curated record
CGAAGAAGUGGUGGAUGGUACUCCACCUUUAUUGACAGCCUCCACAGCAUUGUUAAUUAAUGCUUGUUGCUGAAUCUUCUGCUGCUGUGCAGCAAGAUCUUGACGAUACGCGUCGUGAAUAAUCCAUGCAUUGCGAUUUAGCUCCAGUCAGCAAUUCCAGUGGAUCCUCUUCCCUUUCCGUCAUUGCUCCAUGAUCACUUCGGCUACUGUCUAAAGCUGCAUUGCUCGUAUUAUUGGCUCCAGCAGCACCUGAUGCAGCAGCCGUGUCGAUCGAACGAUCCCCAUCAUAAGCUUCACUGACUGUAUCGUCAGCGUCCGAUGUUCCAGCAUCUACUUCCUGUCGAAUUUCUGCAACUGCAUUUCGUUAUAUGUCAGAAACGUUAGUUGGCUCGACGUAAACCGAUGACGACGUUUGAUCAAAGAGUUCAACUGAGGAAUUUUCUGGAAUCAGUGGGAUGAAACAGCGAUCUGGGAUGCUGUACACCACCUGAUUCUUUGUUCGCUGCGGAUCAGCUGCACUCAGAACGAUUCUUACCGUUCCCGGAAUUUCCUGCCGAACAGUUCCUUUCUGUUAGAGAUUGUACAUGUAAAAUCAUAACAAUCCAGUCAUUCUUGCCUCGUCGUCGUCAACGUUCCAGGUGUAAUGUUGUGCUUCCCAACGACGAUCAUUUGGUUUCUGUAAAAGUUUUAGAACAUAGCAUUUGUUGCUAAAUCAAAAAUGUUUCGAUUUACCUUUCCCUGCGCUUCAUGUUGCUUUGCAUCGGCAGCACGAAUUCUGUUAACGAGGAGCUUGUGAUGCAAAUUACUGAUGCGCUGUAGACGAAAAAGGAAAAGAACUGUAUAAUGCAAGCAGUAUGCAAAAGAAAAUGUGAAAUAAAUAAUUUCAAAUACUUUUUGAAGUAGUUUAGGACCCAUUUUUAAACGCUGGUGAUGGUUCUAGAAUUGAAGAUUGACAAUAACGAUUCAACACGGUUUGGUCGCUAAGCGCUGGAGUCGUCGUGGUGAGGGCACAGAUAAUCUUGAUCGAUACACCGCUUGCUUAGCAAUUACAAUAUCUACAGAGUUUGCUUGCCAAAAAAAAACAUGUAGAUAUACUACGAUGAAUUGGUGAUUCGUGCCAAUGACGUGGCAAAGAUUCCCCAGUGUGAUUUGCUGAAAGUAACAGGAAUCUAUCGAGUCAAGGCAUAUAACAAAUGUAUUGAGUUGGAUGUUUUUUCAUGUACAAACAUGGCUUUCGUAAAAAAAAAGGCACACACUGAAUGCGUGCAAAUAAUAAACUAGAAAUUUUUUCGAUAGAUCGCCAUGUACCAACAGUGCAAAAGCCCAAGGGGGGGAAAAAAACAGCUCAUGUCUAAGGCUAGAUAGGUACCCUCUGGUUGGGCUAGGGAUAAAGUUCACGUGCGACUUGGAACCAAAAUGAAGGACGAAGCUAGGCGUCAAAA